RNAcentral lists this ribosomal RNA (440 nucleotides) under uncultured bacterium. RNAcentral describes it as "partial 16S ribosomal RNA". It matches the Rfam family "Bacterial small subunit ribosomal RNA", at positions 338 to 795 of the family's 1533-position model. The record is from RNAcentral.
CCUACGGGAGGCAGCAGUGGGGAAUAUUGCACAAUGGGCGAAACCCUGAUGCAGCGACGCCGCGUGAGUGAAGAAGUCUUUCGGUAUGUAAAGCUCUUUUAGCAGGGAAGAAAAUGACGGUACCUGACUACGAAGCGCCAGCGAACUACGUGCCAGCAGCCGCGGUAAUACGUAGGGGGCAAGCGUUAUCCGGAUUUAAUGGGUGUAUAGGGGGCGUAGACGGCAGGACAAGUCUGGAGUGAAAUCCCGGGGCUUAACCCCGGAACUGCAUUGGAAACUGUGCAGCUAGAGUGCUGGAGAGGUAAGCGGAAUUCCUGGUGUAGCGGUGAAAUGCGUAGAUAUUAGGAGGAACACCAGUGGCGAAGGCGGCUUACUGGACAGUAACUGACGUUGAGGCGCGAAAGCGUGGGGAGCAAACAGGAUUAGAUACCCGAGUAGUC